UACGUAGGGUGCAAGCGUUAAUCGGAAUUACUGGGCGUAAAGCGUGCGCAGGCGGUUGUGCAAGACAGAGGUGAAAUCCCCGGGCUUAACCUGGGAAUGGCCUUUGUGACUGCAUGGCUAGAGUGUGUCAGAGGGGGGUAGAAUUCCACGUGUAGCAGUGAAAUGCGUAGAGAUGUGGAGGAAUACCGAUGGCGAAGGCAGCCCCCUGGGAUAACACUGACGCUCAUGCACGAAAGCGUGGGGAGCAAACAGG
This 253-nucleotide ribosomal RNA is filed under the name uncultured bacterium. Its description in RNAcentral is "partial 16S ribosomal RNA". It matches the Rfam family "Bacterial small subunit ribosomal RNA", at positions 524 to 776 of the family's 1533-position model. The record is from RNAcentral.